GUAGUCAUAUGCUUGUCUCAAAGAUUAAGCCAUGCAUGUCUAAGUAUAAACAACUUUGUACUGUGAAACUGCGAAUGGCUCAUUAUAUCAGUUAUAGUCUACUCGAUAGUACCUUACUACUUGGAUAACCGUAGUAAUUCUAGAGCUAAUACAUGCAUCGAUACCCAACUGCUUGUCGGGCGGGUAGCAUUUAUUAGAUUGAAACCAAUGCAGUCUUCGGGCUGGUAUUGUGUUGAGUCAUAAUAACUGUGCGGAUCGCACUCAGUGCGAUAAGUCGAUUGAGUUUCUGCCCUAUCAGCUUUGGAUGGUAGGAUAUGGGCCUACCAUGGCACCAACGGGUAACGGGGAAUGGGGCGGGGGCGGCGGGCCGGGCGCGGGGCGCGGCGGGCGA
RNAcentral lists this ribosomal RNA (391 nucleotides) under uncultured Pythium. RNAcentral describes it as "bacterial SSU rRNA". It matches the Rfam family "Eukaryotic small subunit ribosomal RNA", at positions 20 to 374 of the family's 1831-position model. The record is from RNAcentral. Lineage: Eukaryota; Oomycota; Peronosporomycetes; Pythiales.